RNAcentral lists this ribosomal RNA (414 nucleotides) under uncultured bacterium. RNAcentral describes it as "partial 16S ribosomal RNA". It matches the Rfam family "Bacterial small subunit ribosomal RNA", at positions 355 to 762 of the family's 1533-position model. The record is from RNAcentral.
UGGGGAAUUUUGGACAAUGGGCGAAAGCCUGAUCCAGCAAUGCCGCGUGUGUGAAGAAGGCCUUCGGGUUGUAAAGCACUUUUGUCCGGAAAGAAAUCCUUGGCUCUAAUACAGUCGGGGGAUGACGGUACCGGAAGAAUAAGCACCGGCUAACUACGUGCCAGCAGCCGCGGUAAUACGUAGGGUGCAAGCGUUAAUCGGAAUUACUGGGCGUAAAGCGUGCGCAGGCGGUUUGCUAAGACCGAUGUGAAAUUCCCCGGGCUCAACCUGGGAACUGCAUUGGUGACUGGCAGGCUAGAGUAUGGCAGAGGGGGGUAGAAUUCCACGUGUAGCAGUGAAAUGCGUAGAGAUGUGGAGGAAUACCGAUGGCGAAGGCAGCCCCCGGGCAAUACUGACGCUCAUGCACGAAAGCGU